RNAcentral lists this ribosomal RNA (427 nucleotides) under uncultured bacterium. RNAcentral's name for it is "partial 16S ribosomal RNA". It matches the Rfam family "Bacterial small subunit ribosomal RNA", at positions 355 to 774 of the family's 1533-position model. The record is from RNAcentral.
UGGGGAAUAUUGCACAAUGGGCGCAAGCCUGAUGCAGCCAUGCCGCGUGUAUGAAGAAGGCCUUCGGGUUGUAAAGUACUUUCAGCGAGGAGGAAGGCGUUGUGGUUAAUAACCGCAGCGAUUGACGUUACUCGCAGAAGAAGCACCGGCUAACUCCGUGCCAGCAGCCGCGGUAAUACGGAGGGUGCAAGCGUUAAUCGGAAUUACUGGGCGUAAAGCGCACGCAGGCGGUCUGUCAAGUCGGAUGUGAAAUCCCCGGGCUCAACCUGGGAACUGCAUCCGAAACUGGCAGGCUAGAGUCUUGUAGAGGGGGGUAGAAUUCCAGGUGUAGCGGUGAAAUGCGUAGAGAUCUGGAGGAAUACUGGUGGCGAAGGCGGCCCCCUGGACAAAGACUGACGCUCAGGUGCGAAAGCGUGGGGAGCAAACA